RNAcentral lists this non-coding RNA (22 nucleotides) under Arabidopsis thaliana (thale cress). Lineage: Eukaryota; Viridiplantae; Streptophyta; Magnoliopsida; Brassicales; Brassicaceae. The record is from RNAcentral.
UGGAUCCGGCGGCAGAUGCGGA